Molecule: small nuclear RNA, 164 nt
Organism: Erpetoichthys calabaricus (reedfish)
Lineage: Eukaryota; Metazoa; Chordata; Cladistia; Polypteriformes; Polypteridae
Gene: U1
Rfam family: U1 spliceosomal RNA
About the family: U1 is a small nuclear RNA (snRNA) component of the spliceosome (involved in pre-mRNA splicing).
Source: Ensembl
UCACUUACCUAGCAGGGGAGAUACCAUGAUCAUUAAGGUGGUUCUGCCAGCAUGAGGCACAUCCAUUGCACUCUGGGUAUGCUGACCCCUACGAUUUCCCCAACUGCGGGAAACAUGAUUACAUAAUUUGUGGUUCAGUAUUGAUGCAUUAACACUAGAAUUCC